This 244-nucleotide ribosomal RNA is filed under the name uncultured bacterium. RNAcentral describes it as "partial 16S ribosomal RNA". It matches the Rfam family "Bacterial small subunit ribosomal RNA", at positions 89 to 334 of the family's 1533-position model. The record is from RNAcentral.
UGGCGACCGGCGCACGGGUGCGUAACGCGUAUGCAACCUACCUUUAACGGGGGAGUAACACUGAGAAAUUGGUACUAAUACCCCAUAAUAUCAUAGAAGGCAUCUUUUAUGGUUGAAAAUUCCGAUGGUUAGAGAUGGGCAUGCGUUGUAUUAGCUAGUUGGUGGGGUAACGGCUCACCGAGGCGACGAUACAUAGGGGGACUGAGAGGUUAACCCCCCACACUGGUACUGAGACACGGACCAG